Molecule: long non-coding RNA, 11591 nt
Organism: Piliocolobus tephrosceles (Ugandan red Colobus)
Lineage: Eukaryota; Metazoa; Chordata; Mammalia; Primates; Cercopithecidae
Exons: 3
Source: RefSeq, a predicted model, not a curated record
GUUGCCAGGACUGGUCUCGAACUCCUGGGCUCAAGUUAUCCUCCUGCCUCGGCCUCCCAAAGUGCUGGGAUUAUAGGCAUAAGCCAUCAUGCCCAGCCCUCCUUAAUUUUUUAACAUGAAUUAAUAGGACCUGGACACACACAGCCUCAUUUAUAUGGGCAGCCAUCACAGCCUGCCACGUGUCAGGUGAGGUCUCUGGGGCUCUCACUUCUUGCACUGGGGCUGAUGCCACAUGUGGCCCAGCUGGAGGUCACAUUCAUCUCCUGCGUUCUCCGGGAUCAGAUGCAAUACCAGCACAUCUUACCCUCGUGUGCCCUGGGAGUUUGUAAUAAUGUAUGAAUACGUAGGUUUAUUUCAGAGAACAUUUUCAGAAUCUUGUUGCGCAUGUGCACAAAAAUAUUGGCUGCAGUGUGUUUAUAACCAUGAAAAUUCCAAAAUAGCUUCAAUCUCCUGUGAAACGGGAGUGGUUGAAGGCCCUCCAGCACGUGCACAGAAUUCUUUCUUCAGCCAUUGAAACAUGAAAAUGACGGUUAAAAAUGACUCCAUUAUGGGGAAAAGGGACAGGAUGCAAAUUGUUCAAAUGGCAUGAUGAUAUGAUGGCAUGAUGUAUGAUAAGGAAAGAAAAAGAUGUUGUAAAAGGUCACAUAAAGUCACCCACAGAUCAGCAGUCAUGCCAUGAUGAGCUGCUCUGUGCCAGACACACAGGCUGGAAAUUGGUAGGUGCUCACCCCAGGAAGUGGGCAUCUGCCCCUCUGUGCCUCAGUUGCCUCUGUUAGGCUCCUGGAAGCCCCCUUCACUGCUGCAUGUAAUGACAUCUUCAUCACCACAUGUAACAGCUUCUUUACCACUAUGUGUAAUGUCAUUCUGUGUGCUUAUUGGUCUAAACCAUCACAGAGGAAAAGAGUGCUGGAGAAAUGCCAGGGAUAUCGGUACGGAAAUGUUCCAGAUGGAAAGUCUCGGCUUCAGGUGACCGUAGCAGUGAAUGUCAGGGUCAAACAGGGGUGUGUUCUUGGGAGAGCGUCAGCUCGUCUGUGACCUAGUGUUCAGCCGGCUUCCUGGAAAGGAGCUGCAUCCUGACAUUGAAGCCCUGUGUGCUAGGAUGAGUGUGUUACGCAGAGCCUUACAAAUGAGAAAAUCUUGCAUCCUUAGGACAGGCGGUUAGUGUUGCUGUCUGGAAUCCAUCGGCUACAUCCCUCCUCCCUCCACCACUUAAAAUUCCCUGAAUCUGACAGUGGUAGGGAAAGGGCUGAUCCUGGAGAAGACUGUUCCUUGAUAAUCCUAGUAUGAUUCAUAAUGGUUGCAGCAGAUGAGCCCUGAGGUCCGUGGCUCAGUCUGCAGCUGAGGAAGGCUCUUCCCUGGGGAGGUGUGUCCAGCUUCUCGGGAAGACCUCAGCUGUCUGUCUGGCCUGGGCUGCCCAGUUCUUAGCAGUGUGUCAGUGACCAGCAGCCCCUAUCAGGCAGCAUUUCCCGCCUGCCAGAGAACAUCAGAGCCACUGCGUCUGGACCAGCUGAAGGCAGCCACGGUGCCCAGGAUGCUGCUGCUGCCUCCAAGGAAAAGAAUUCUGAAAAUGCAGAAUUACAGCCUGGUGGUUUUGUUUUAUGUUCAUUAAUAUUUUUUACAUCUGGAAGAUAAUGGAAAAAAUUAAGAAUUGCUAUAAUUGCACCAAUUUUAAAGAUUAAUAAUAUAAAGAAGGGAGAGUAACGAACACCAGCUUGAAACCCAUCCCGCCCCUUCUUGAGAUAAUACCUGUUAUCAAUUUGGUGAUUUAUGCAAACGUAGUGGUGUACUGUUAAACUUCUCAAGAGGAGAAACAAAAACCUUGAAUUGUAGGUUUGUCGAUUUCAAUGGUGAAAUCCCACCACAGCCGGUUUCAGGCAACCAAAGCUUUAAAAACCAGUUCGCAAAAUUCUUCAAUAUUUAAUAAUCAGCUUUUGCAAGUGCAUACAUGCUCAUAGCGUUUGCUUUUUGUACUUCAUUUUGAGGGAGGCAGGAAAUGGAAACUGCAAUGGUAUUGGUAAGCGUGCCAUUUUGAUUUACGGUAUCACCACGUCUUCCCAGACUAGCAUGUGCAGAUUCACUUAGGUCCUGUCACUUGUGGGAUGGAGUUUCCAUGAAGGCGCACCGUGUUGCUUCUGGAAGGGCAGAAUCGGCCCCCCAGGAGAGGGGAGUGCCAGCAUCUUGGCACUCGGAGGUUAACUCCUGCAAUGCUGUCCACAUCUGGCGUUUACUUGGAGUUCACUCUAGCUUCCAGUUUCUUCUAAAUAUGUUCUUCCAAUUACCUGUGGCCUAAUCAACUCUGCUGGUGAUACAUCCCUUUGCUCUGUUCAAUUCCAGUUUCCAUCAGAGAAUCUCAUUUUUCUUUUGGGAAAUGUUUCCUGAUUUUCUUCUUUUCCACCACCCCUCCCUGAGGCUGGGUAAAGUGCUUCUUCUGCAUGAUGCUUAGAACCCAGGCCUCCUGUGACAGGGCUCUCUGCACCUUAUGAUUUAUUGUGUGAUGUCUCAGUAUGUUUCCUGCGGAGAAGCAGAGAAGCUCUGGUAAACAGAAUGGCCCUCUAAAGAUGCCCACACCCUAAUCUCUGAUUUAUGCCUAUGAAUGAAUAUAUUACUUUAUAUAGCAAAGGGGACUUUGCAGAGGUACUUAAGGUUACUAAUCAAUUGACUUCUAAUAGGGAGAUUAUCCUCGGUUAUCCAGGCAGGCCCAAUCCAAUCACAUGGGCCCUUAAAAGCAGAGAUUUCCUCUGACUGUGCUCAGGAAGAUGCCGUGAAAGGUUCUAAGUGUGAGAAGGAUUUGAUGUGCCACUGCUGGCUCUGAAAUGUGGGGCCCACUUGUAGGAACUGGAGGGAGAGACUGGUUGCUAAGGGUGGCCCCUAGCUGAUAGCCAACAGAGAAAUGGGGACCCCCCCAUCCUACAGCUGCAGGGAACUGACUUCAGAACAUGAAUAAGUUUGGAAGAGGAUCCUUCCAGAACCUCCUGAUAGGAGCCCAGUCCGCUGUCACCUUGAAUUCAGCUUCGUGAAUCAGGAGCUGGGAAACCAGCUGAGCCAACCCACACUCUGACCUAAGGAGCACUGAGGUAAUUAUAUGUGUUGUUUUAAGCCACUGAGUUUGUAGUAAUUUGUUAUAGUGGCUGUAGAAAAUCAAUACAGAAUCCUAGUGUUUGGGAAUGCAGGCUCCAGACCCCCGUUUUCUCACUUCGAAAGCAUGUUUGCACCUUCGCAGGGGACCCUCAAGUCCCCGUAGCUCACUUUCACGUGUCUCAACCCACUUGCCCUGCUGCUCCUGAAUGAGCAGGUUCUACCAUCUUCCAAAUACUUCAUCUCCCCGACCUGCCCAUGAUCACCGCUUGGUGAAUUUUUACCACUGCAAUGUAGGCCUUGGCUUCCUAUUUCAGACCGCCUGGGAUGUUUUGGUAGCUUCCUUAGGGGUCUUCUCAACUCCCGGCCCUCCCUCUGCCCAACCAUCCUUCACACUGCCUCCAGAUGCAUCUUCCUGAAGUGUGGCUUUGCUUCCAUCACUCCCUAGCUACAGACAUCCUGUGGGCUUCCCGUUCCUACUGAAUCCAGGGCACAUCCCCAGCCUCUACUGGGGACGGGGCAUUGCCUCUCCAGUCCGAUUCCCCAGGACUCCCUCUUGUACUUUUGUUCUACUCUUGUCCCCUUGUAUGCCCAAGCUUCCCCAGCCCUAGGUCUCUCCGUUCCUCCAGUCCUGUAGUGCCCUGCUCUUGUGCCAUCUCAUCCCUGCAGCCUCAUGGGAUCCCCAGAGGUACCACUGGUACCAUGCCCAAGGCUCAUCUGUCUAUCUGACUCUUAAGUGCCCUCAGUCACACAGCCAGUCUGAGAUCCAGUCCUGUAUUUGAACUUCUGCCCUGUCUAAUCUGGAGCCCAACCUCUCGCCCCCCUCUCCAGUGUGAUUCAUAGGCUUGUGUCACAGCUCUCGGGGAUUUAAAGAAAAUGUCGACAUCCAGGCUUAAAAAAAAAAAAAAAUGUGAUGACUAUCUUUACCAGAGGGAAAAGAAUUUCCUGUGUAACUAUUGAAAGUAAUGAAGAUGGAGGAGGGGACAGGAUUGGGAAUGGGAAAUACUCAGCUUCCCAGCAGUGGGGACAGAGUUGAGAACCAAAGAGACAGUGUAUUUUCUAAGACACACUCCAGGCCAGGCCUGCCUGUGUCCUUCAGUGUCCAGGUCUACCACAGAGAACCCUGGGCUGACCACUGGCUCACCCUGCAGAAUGCUCACUAUAGACGUGGCUUCUGAGGCUGGGGAUGGGCCUCCAGCCAGCAGCUGUCAGGACGGACUCCUUGGCAAACUUUCCUAGGAUGUAAGAUGGAAAGAUUUUUUCCACCUCCCUACCCCGUGUUUCCCAGGUUGGGGAAAAUAGAAAAAAAAAAAAAAAAAAAAAAAAAGGAAGAAAAUGGGCCUACCUAUCAAAACAGAGGCUAAACACCCACAAAUAGGAAACUCACAGACCGAAAAUGAAACACUAAAGCAAAUACCAUAAUUUCCAAUUCAGGCCUGUGUGAGUAUCUCCAAGUGGGAACAGCAGCAUUUGGAGUUGAGGUGGGAGGGGGCUCGGAUGGGGUCGGUCCUUGUGGAAGGAGGGCAUACCAGCCUGGGGAGAAGGAGAUUUGGGGCCAGAAGGUUCAGUGGGAUUGUGACUUUGGACUUUGUCAUUUCACUGGGGACCGUCCAUGAGACAGAAUCAUCCUUGCCUCAUUCACCGACCUCACAUCCAUGCAGCUAUCCAAUGUGAGAAUUAAGAGAAAAGCCUUUAAAAUUUUAAAGCCCUGCAUGCAUGUGAAGUGUUAAAAAUAGUCACAAAUGAUGAACUGUAGCAAGAACGUCAAUGAUAAUGACGUUGACCCAGUGACAAAGGGAUUUUGUCUCUCUCAUGAGUGGACCAAAAUGGGAGCAGUAGAGGAAGAUAUUAUAGCUCAGGGGCCAUAAGGCUGCAGGAUUUACAGCCAAACUGCCUGGAUUUAAAAGUGGGUUCUAGUACUCACUAGCUUUGCAACCUUGGGUAACUCACUUAACUUCUCUAUGCCCCCGUUUCCUCAUCGGUAAAAUAUAUACACUAAUAAUCCCAAACUCAUAGCAUUAUUGUAUGGAUUAAAUGAGCUAAUCCACGAUAAUAACAUGUUUAAUAUGUGUUAGCUAUAAUCACAAAAUUGUGAUAGCAAUUCUCUAAUAGAAUAAAAUAUUGUUUGCCAAUGUCUCGGCCAUCUUUAUACUCAGUGUAAGCAGUCCCCACAAACAGAAAUGCUGUUGCAGGGUGAGUGUGCUAAAAAUACUCCUGGGAUUUUUCAAGUCCUUGGAGACAUCCAUCUUAAAAUAGUGCAAAAAGAACCGAAUAAAUACUCAUUUAUGUGCUAUUUUAAUGAGCAACUGUAGGCAAUAUGCCUAAUAUGGCAGAGAGGUCUUCGGUGUCCUUUCUCCUUCAUUCUUGAUUAGCGUCUGAGCUCAGAUGGCAUGCAUCAUUAUGUUUGUGGCAUUACAAAAGGUUCUGGGAGUGAGGGAGAGUGCAAGGGUGGGGAAGCAUUACGUGCCUGUAAUCCCAGCUCUUGGGGAUGCUGAGGCAUGAGAAUUGCUUGAACUCGGGAGGCAGAGGUUGCAGCGAGCCGAGAUCGUGCCACUGCACCCCAGCCUGGGCCACAGAGCAAGACUCUGUCUCAAAAAAAAAAAAAAAAGUAAGCUUCUGUGCUUCUGCCCAGAACCACUGAAUCAGAUGCUGGGUGUCAGCUCUGGACCCUGUUUGGCCUUUUCUUUCCUAUGUCAACCCAGCAGAGCUGCAGGCCCUGUGUGGAGGUGGGUUACAAUGUGCUCUCCUUAUCCCCAGUAAAACCAGGACAUUUUAAGGUGGGGAGGGGGUGGGAGUGGAUCAAUUAACUUGGAGUCUAAGCUUGACCUUUACCCUGGAUUUAUGGGGCUUAGAAAUAAAGGGAAAGUUGCAUUCUUCUCUGAGGAACUGCUUAAUUCAUAUCCACUCUCCCAAAUAAAGCUGCUGGUUGAUUGCAGCUAUUUAAUUCAAUGCUAUUUGCUUUCAUUCUGUGCAGGGUGAGGAUAGCUUUUGUUGACCAGAGCUUGUGCUAGAUCUCCACCCGGGCCAGGAAGGCAUUUCCCUGCACUCACAAAGGCCUUCCACACAUAAGAUGCACCGAAGAAUUCCUGGCAGGGCCAAAUCUGAUGUCAGGUUCACUCUUGGCCUUCCAAGUUCUUGCUGCCUCUCCUUUGUGCCCACGAUAUCUGAUGGCAGCAGCAUGGGACUUGGUACAGUUGAAAUAGCCCAAGUUCAAAUCCUGAUUCAGACACUGAGCUCAGUAACUUUAUUUGAGGACGUGGAAGUGCUGAGAUGCAACAUAAGUUCCCCCAAAUUACUCAGCUACUUGAGGCACAGCUGACAUCCAGAAGCUUCUCCGGGAAGGCUUUUGGAGUUCCCCAAGGCAGAGUCAACAAGAACAUAAGUUCCUUGAGAAGAGGGAGUGUGUGCCUCACUCACUGUCAUCUCCCCACGACCUGCCGCAAAGUGGACAUUCUCUUAAUAGUUACCGAGUGAAUAGACGCAGGAAGUUCAGCCUUUUUUGAUCUAAUUUCUUGCUCAAAGCUCAUCACAGCAUUCAACAUGUGGCCUCCUCACUAACCUGUGCACCCCUCAAGUCCAGGACCAUGUCAGAUUGUCUUUGAAUCCCUCAGCCCCAGUCCCAGACCUGCACCAGAGCAGGUGUUCAGCAAAUGAAUAUCGAAUUGUGGAAACAGGGAUCUCUCCAUUCUGGAUUCAAGACAGCGCCCUCCCUGUGAAGCUUUUCUGAGCCCUUUCACACUGAAGUUCUUCAAACCUUCAUGUUGACACCUAUCUGCCUGCUGCCCUCAGUCCAGGAGCAACUUGGACAUCAGCCCUACCUGUCACACUGGGGUUGGUACACCUGGCCUGUUCCGGGACAGAUUGCAAGGCUGAGGAUUAAGUAACACCUGGAGUGGUUAGGAGGCUGGGCACCUCCUUCUUGUGAAUCUCCCGGGCUGCGUGGCGGGUGGCGGGUGGCUGGCAGGGGAGGACCCUUGGCACUGCUGUGGCUUUGCAUUUGCUGCCAGCGGGGCCUUUGAUGCCCCAGGGGCUGCUCGCCCAGCCAAAGGCAUUGUAGAACACAAAAGCUGCAGAAAGCAGCACAAAUAAAGUAAAAGCGACCCAGGAACUGCCAGGGAGCUUAUCAGCCUGUUUCCUGGUCACAGGUACGGAGUGUAGAGAGGCACAGGGAGCAUUUCUGGGCCUUGUGAUCGCCUGCACGUUGCCAGGGCCCCUGGUAUUGUGUACAAAGCAUUAACCUGGAAGCUAAGCAAGGCUCUUCACCUUGCGAAACUGACUGAAUGGGUCCAAACUCUUAGAGCUUUUGUGAGGGUUAGAUAGGUUGAUAAGUUAAAGUGCCUACUCUGUGUGUGUGCGUCUAAUAAUGAUAACAGCCACGGUAGUAAUAAUGAUAGCAGCUAAUACUUUCUGAGCAUUUCAUAUAUGCCAAACACUCUUUUAGCUGAUUUUUAUAUUAAUUCAUUUAAUCUUCAUAAUGACACUAAGAGGUAGGUAGUACUGUUGUCUUCAUUUUAUAGAUGAGAAGUUUCGCCAAAGCUCAGAGACGUUAAGUAAUUUCCUUAACAUGGCACAGCACAUGAAAAGACAAUCCUGCAUUUGAACCUGGCACUCUGGUUGUGAAACACUGGUCUACAGCCACCUUGCUACCCAUUUCUUCCCCCUAGCCUUUGGAAUAUUGUGUUCCCCUAAUUAUUAUGGUAGUGAGGACAACCAGGUGAUGAUGAUGAUGAUGAAGAUGAGGAUGACGACGAUGACAGUGAUGGCGGUGGUGAAGGAGGAAGACAUGCCCUCAUUUCGUAUAGCAAUCUGCUUCUUGCUGGGAUUUCAAAUCCAUUUUCAUUGUUGAUCCUGAGAGCAAGCCUUGGAGGGGGAGUCAUUUUGAAAUCCCAGGACACUGGGUCUUAAGAGGCGGCUGAAGACCCAUGCAGUCAUGCGGUGGAGUCUGCGAGGCCCAGAGCGGAAGAGGAGGACAUGGGUGCGGCAGCCCACACUGCUGUGCUACAGCUCUGGAUCCUGACUGUGUGAGUGGGCCCAAGGCUGCUGGAACCUCUGGGGCUAUAGCAAGAAGGGUGAGGAAGUUGCCCCACUCCUGCUGCCUUCGUGAACAUUGGUUGUUCCCUCAGGACAGGAAAUUGAGGCUGUUCCCUUGACCACUCCAGACAGCUUAGUGGUGACUUCAAGUCCUCUUAUGAGAUGGUGGAUCAUAGCUACUGUUGAUUGAGAAGGACAGAAUAAUGGGCUCCAGAUUCACAAGCCCCACCAAGAGGAUCACCCCAGGAACCCUUGGAGGCUGAGGAGUUCACUGAGGCUAGUGCAUCUUGAGACUCAGGAUGAAGACCCAACUUGGGGCUGUCAAAGGUGCAACCUACCAGCUGAGACCUCCAGGGGUCGAGCGCGGGCCCCUUUGCCUUGUUCAUGGCUUAGGCCAGUGCUUAGCAUAUAGUAAACAACUUGUAAAUGUUUAUGAGAGGAUGUAUGGGGGGUCAUCCCUUCGGAAUGGCACACUGUCCAUUAUCAUUGUCCUCAGAGGCUCCAGUCUCAGGUGCUUCUUAAACUGCGAUGGGAAUGAUAGCAGCAGGUGGGUCCAGGGCUCAGCAUGAGAGCUCGCAGCAGGCUGUGCUCCACCCCAUGCAGGCCCCCAGUCUUGCCAUGUUUCCUCUGCCUCACCAGGCUGGCCUAGAAACUGCUUCCAACUGAAGCCAGCCAACAUGCCUGCCCCUAACCUCUCCUGCAACUCUAGGGUCACCGUUAGUCUAGAUCAGGGGUCCUUAAACUAUAGCCUUUGCCAGGCACGGUGGCUCAUGCCUGUAAUCCCAGAACUUUGGGAGGCCGAGGCGGGUGGAUUACUUGAGGUAGAAAGUUCGAGACCAGCCUGGCCAACAUGGUGAAACCCCGUCUCUACUAAAAAUACAAAACUUAGCCAGACAUGGUAGCACACACCUGUAAUCCCACCUACUUGGAAGGCUGAGGCAAGAGAAUCGCUUGAACCUAGGAGGUGGAGGUUGCAGGGAGCUGAGAUCAUACCACUGAACUCCAGCCUGGGCGACAGAGGGAGAGACUCCCUCUCAAAACAAACAAACAAACAAACAAACACUACAGCCUUUGGGCUAAAUCUGGUCAGUGUUCUGUGCUUGUAAGAACUCUGAGUUAAGAACAAUUUUUAUGUCUCUAAAGGGUUGAAGAAUACAAAAAGAAUAUUCAAUAGAGACCAUCUGGCUAGCAAAGCCUAAAAGACUGACCCUCUGGUCCUUUACAGAAAGGGUGUGCCGGUCGCUGGAUUGGGCAGUGCCGACCGCACCCCGGACUCCCUGUGAAAAUUUCAACCACACAGACUCAUUUCCUUUCUCUUAUCAACACUGAGGCAGGUGAGAUUAUCAUUCCUUGUAAACAUGGAGAAACUAAGGCAUGGAGAGGUUUAACUCAUUUGCCUGAGAAUCUAUGAAGUAACAGAGCCAGGGUUCCAACCCAGGCAGUCCAGCUUCAGAGCCCAUACUUCCUAGCUGCACUCUGGGUCAUCAGCGUAGGGAUGAGCUUCAGACAAGAUCUCCCCUCUUAGUUUCUGCCCUCUCCUGCCCCACAGCCAGUGGACAGGCAUUUUGCGCCCCAGCCUGCCCCCAGCCAGCUCCUCCUCAGAGAUUUCCUGCAGGGACUUAGACGGGGCUCUGGGACCACCCUCCUUUUCUGCCCCACCCAGCACCUGGAACUCUGCUUGAUCCUGCUCCCUGUAAGGCUGGACACGUCUCCAUGAGCCAGGCCUGAAGUUGUUCCCCUCUCUGGACCUCAGGACCUCCCUUCCUAGGAGCAAUUCCUGUAUCUCCUCUCCUCUCUGCCUUCGCCCCUUCCCACCAUGUCCUUCCAAUAUGGGGCUGGAUUUGUAGUGUGCAGCCUUGGGAACAGGGCUGGGCUCAGGGAUUGGGAACAGAGGCCUAGGGCUCUGGCUGACCCUCUCUCAUCCCCAGGAGGAGAAGCUGCUGUAUUUAGAGUGUCACAAAGAACAGUGUUGGAGGCUUCAGAAACCACGGGAGAUUCUGAACUUCUCGGCUGAGCAGAUGGGAUGGUGCCUCUGUGAUCAACGGGCCUGGCAGAGGGAUGCAGGAGGGGGUGAGAUGGAAAGACAGCUGCCAAGGGGAACAGAGAGCUUUUCAAGUCACCCUUGUCCCCUCCCCACCUCACCAUCAGGUUACAGCCCCUCAGCCCUGGGGCUGGAGAUGAGUGUGCGGAGAAUGAAGCUACAGAGGCCGUGUUCUGGCUGUGUGACCUUGCACAGGUUACAUAACACUCUGUGCCUCACUUUACUCAUUUUUAAAAUGAUGAAGAUGAUAACUACCUGGCAGGGUCUUAUAUUAGAGAUAAUACGGUUCCCGGCGCUCUGUAAGCACCCAGUGUUAAAUUGUCUUCUGCUGCUCCCCUUCAUCAGUCCACCCCUCCUCUGCAGAGCUUUCCUCCAUGCUGAGCAAGCUGGCAGUAACUAAGGCCCUGCUGGGCGCAUCCCUAGUGCCUUCUGCCCAGACCUCGGGACCCCCAGGGAUCCUGGCCCCUGUGGACGGGGACUUUUGUGCUCUCCUUCACUGUUACCAGCGAGAGUGAGUCGUGCACUGAAUUUCCAUGGGAUCAUUGUUUGCUAACAUUUGUGCGUGAGUUACUGUCUAGAAAGCAGCUUUUCUGGCCUUUUCCCAUUAAUUUCAUGAAAGUUAUCUUCCUUUGCCCUUACUACAGUCCUGUGAGAGGUUCAUUACCCCAUUUUACAAACAACUAAUGCUCCGAGAUGAAGUGACUCCCCCGGGGUCGCCUAGCUAAGCAGUGGAGAGUGGGUCUCCCACCCGGCCCUCUCACUCUGACUCCUGUUCUCCGCGUCAUUGCAUAUGGCGACAUGUGGGUCACGUUUUCACACGUCCCUAGUUGAUACGGAAUGGUGAGCUUCUCCUGGGUCUUCCGAGGAAGGAUGUUUGCGGGGGUGUUUUGGAAUAAAGGCAGUGGAGGCCAAGAGACCUCUAGGUCAAAGCCAGGCAGGAGGGUCUUCUCAGGGACCCAGCUAACAAGUUGCAUUUCUCCCUCAGAGGCUUGAAGAGGCAGAACACCCGAGAGGAGUCUGGGGCCACCACCCAGCGUCACUGUGGGAAAACGGCAGCAGGAAAUGUCCUCUCACCCGUGUGCUUCACCUCUGUCCACACCUUCCCUCCUUCUGGAAGCCUUGCCUGACCACUGGCCUGCCCCUUCUAUGGGAAUUGCUGCUGACCUUGCAGCUCACUGUAGACUUAUAUGUAUGCAGAAAUAUAAUUUUAAUUACUUUUGUAUUGCUCCAAGAGUGAUACCGAAUCACAACAGAAAAUUUAAAUAAACAAAAUAGCCAAAUUAUUACAAGUAAUCACCCCAGUCAAAUAUACCCAGCUCACAUUUUGAUGUAAAAUCUUCCAGUACGUUUCCUAUGUACAUAUAUUUUUAGGAAGGAGAUUAUAUUUUACAUGCUGUUUUCUAAAACGUUCUUUUAAAACUGUGUCAUAAACAUCUUUCCUUAU